CUCGCCAGUGUAGCCCUUGGCGUUAUUCCAGGACCAGCGUCUUCUGUACGCUUACUCUGGGGUUCAGACUUCUGCGCCCCUGGCCGGCGGUGGCGCGCCUCCUCCACGCCUCUCUCCAGCCCUGAGCUCUCUGCGGCCGAAAGUGGCCGGGCAAGCGUUGCCAUGACAGCACCGCGGGUGGGGAUGCGGAGGGCAGAGCGCGCCGGCCCGCUAGCCCCUUUGUGCGGAAGGGGCGGCGGUGUGCUCCCCCCAGCCCGGCUGCACCCCGCUUUCCCGGCCAGGACUCUGGGCGAGGGAAAGGGGAGGGUUAGGUGUGGGGCUGUAGGGGCGCAAGGAGGAGGGAGAAGGGUGGAGGCGAGGGCCGCGGGUGGGGCGCCUCCGCCCGCCAGCCGCUCCCGCAUUAAAAUUUCAUGGGCGCUGCAGCAGCUACAAAGACGACGCCGGCUGCGCUCGGGGGACCGGAGGGAGGGAGGCUGCGGACGAGUGCGGGGAGGAGUUUGAGGUGGGAGGUGCUUGCAGGGACUCCCCCAGUUCUGCGCUGUGAGCCGGGGCACAAAGAGCCCUCUGCACUCGCGCCGCAGGACCGCGGACCCGAGGUCCUUUCUCUGGCUGUGAUCCAUGCUUCUUCCCCGGGCAGGAUGACACUCUUUGAAUUUCCUUAUUCAUCAAGGCAGUGCAGGGUGGUGGAAGGAGACGCAGCUGAGAGUUAUGCAGGUCCACAGAGCCAGGGGAAACAGUCACUGUGGACCAAGCCAGGCUCCUCUGAGCAGCCCAGGGUCUAUUUACAGAGAGCAGCAAGUUCCUGGGACAGAGGAGAGAGAAGGGAAUUUCCAGGUUCUUCAGGACGUUCACAACCAUGCUGAGAAGCAUCCUUGCAGUCCUAGGUGCUGACAGCAAGCUCUGUAAAUCUGCUGAGAAGGCUCCCUGACUCUCCUGACUCAGGUCUGCCAUUGAUGAAGACAGCACAGCUGUUACCCAAAGCAAAACCUGGCAGGUGGUGCUAGGUCAGGAUUAGCGGUCAUUCUCUGGUCUUCUCCAGAUUGAUGACACAGGUUGGUCUUAAAGGAGUCCUACUCCAGCCUCCGGCUCCUCAAAUUUCCUCUGGUGCAGGGCACAUCAGGGAAGGGCAGGGGAGAAGGAGGGGAGCAGAAAAAUAACUGAGGCUGGGCAGAAGAGUCCCUUCUGUUUCCAUCUGCUGCUUAAACCAUGGGUUAUUGUUGUGCACUUCGAAUGUCAAGGCAGGAAGGGUCCCAGGGUCACCCAGUGUGGCAGGAGUAGAGCUGGGAUCAGAAUUCUGGAUUCCCAACUCUCCAUUCAGCUGCAAUUCAGCUGUCACCAAGCUGCUCAGUUUUUCCUCCUUUCUCCCUGGUUGCAUUCUGCUGCUGUUGGGAAACAGGGCGUGAGUGAAGGGAAUCCCUCUCCCCUCUCCGCUCACCUUUUUUUUUUUUUUUUGAGAUGAAGUUUCGCUGUUGUUACCCAGACUGUAGUGCAAUGGCGCGAUCUUGGCUCACCGCAACCUCCGCCUCCUGGGUUCAGGCAAUUCUCCUGCCUCAGCCUCCCGAGUAGCUGGGAUUACAGGCACGCGCCACCAUGCCCAGCUAAUUUUUGUAUUUUUAGUAGAGACGGGGUUUCACCAUGUUGACCAGGGAUGGUCUCGAUCUCUUGACCUCGUGAUCCACCCGCCUCGGCCUCCCAAAGUGCUGGGAUUACAGGCUUGAGCCACCGUGCCCGGCCUCCGCUCACCUUUUAAGGAUGUUGCGGGGUGGAGUAAAGGGAGGGGCAGGGUUGUGUGCCUGAGUCCAGCUUCUCUGGCUCCGGGGCCUUCUAUCUUCAGCAGGGAGUUCUGGCAAAGCCUGAGCCUGGGUAGAGGGCCUGGGUGCGGUUUUCUCCUGCCGUGUGGUUGGCUCUUUUGUCUUCCAGGAUGGCCUGUGGGGUCUGUGUGGGGAAGGAAGGAGCUGGGAGCCUGGGCUGUCUGUGUGCUGGCUACAUGCUGCCAGGUAAGCCUGGGAGGGAUUUGGGGAGGGAGGGAGGUCACACAGAGCUGAAUUUCAUGGGGGUAGGUUGUCCCUCCCACCUGUGCCCCCUCCUCAGGCCCAGAAUGCUUCUGCUCAUGAGAAGAUGGCCUGGGAGCCAGGUGGCUGGAAGGCUUGCUCUGUGUGGUCUUGGUGGGGGUGGGUGGGAUGGGAUGAGGACCAGUGUGGGUGAACUUGAGCAGAUAAUUUAGCAUGUUCCUUCAUUCAGCCCCGGCAUGGACCAAGUACCUUCUCUGAGCCAGGCGCUGGGGAUGCAGAGGUGAACCCAGAGACGUGGUCCUGUCUGCUCGGAUCUUCAUGUCAGAACACGCUUUAUUACAGUCUCAGCCAGGGG
Long non-coding RNA from Callithrix jacchus (white-tufted-ear marmoset), 2367 nucleotides. The record is from Ensembl. NCBI's taxonomy places the organism in Eukaryota, Metazoa, Chordata, Mammalia, Primates, Cebidae.